GAUGAAGAACGCAGCGAAACGCGAUAUGUAAUGUGAAUUGCAGAAUUCAGUGAAUCAUCGAAUCUUUGAACGCACAUGGCGCCUUCCAGUAUCCUGGGGGGCAUGCCUGUCCGAGCGUCGUUUCAACCCUCGAGCCCUCGUGGCCCGGCGUUGGGGAUCUGCCACGGCAGGCCCCGAAAUACAGUGGCGGACCCGUUAGGCCCUUACUUUGCGUAGUAGCAUCAGCCUCGCAUCGGGAGCCGGCGGGCUCUCCUGCCUCUAAACCCCCCAACAAGCCCGCUCCGGCGGCACCAAGGUUGACCUCGGAUCAGGUAGGAAUACCCGCUGAACUUAAGCAUAUCAAUAAGCGGAGGA
This 354-nucleotide unclassified non-coding RNA is filed under the name soil metagenome. RNAcentral describes it as "partial contains 5.8S ribosomal RNA, internal transcribed spacer 2, and large subunit ribosomal RNA". The stretch from base 1 to 120 matches the Rfam family "5.8S ribosomal RNA", at positions 35 to 154 of the family's 154-position model. The record is from RNAcentral.